AGAGUUUGAUCAUGGCUCAGAGUGAACGCUGGCGGCAGGCCUAACACAUGCAAGUCGAGCGGCAGCGCGGGGGCAACCCUGGCGGCGAGCGGCGGACGGGUGAGGAACACAUCGGAAUCUACCCAGUCGUGGGGGAUAACGUAGGGAAACUUACGCUAAUACCGCAUACGACCUGAGGGUGAAAGCAGGGGACCGCAAGGCCUUGCGCGAUUGGAUGAGCCGAUGUCCGAUUAGCUAGUUGGUGAGGUAAAGGCUCACCAAGGCGACGAUCGGUAGCUGGUCUGAGAGGAUGAUCAGCCACACUGGAACUGAGACACGGUCCAGACUCCUACGGGAGGCAGCAGUGGGGAAUAUUGGACAAUGGGCGCAAGCCUGAUCCAGCCAUGCCGCGUGUGUGAAGAAGGCCUUCGGGUUGUAAAGCGCUUUUGUUCGGGAAGAAAUCUUCCGACCUAAUACGUCGGGAGGAUGACGGUACCGAAAGAAUAAGCACCGGCUAACUUCGUGCCAGCAGCCGCGGUAAUAC
Molecule: ribosomal RNA, 523 nt
Filed under: uncultured bacterium
Lineage: Bacteria
Description: bacterial SSU rRNA
Rfam family: Bacterial small subunit ribosomal RNA
Source: RNAcentral